This 1359-nucleotide long non-coding RNA is filed under the name Carica papaya (papaya). RNAcentral describes it as "long non-coding RNA (CPAP_LNC002303)". Lineage: Eukaryota; Viridiplantae; Streptophyta; Magnoliopsida; Brassicales; Caricaceae. The record is from RNAcentral.
ACCGGUCUAUUAUCGCCUGGAACUCAAAGAUUCCUCCGGUUAUUCACUGCAACCGUACGAAUAAUCCUCCAAUUACCGACAUUACGUGGCAGCUCCUCCCCCUUCUUCCCUCAGACAACGUAGAGCAGCUUCGUUUUGCUAACGUCAACGCCGUGGGUCUCUACUUCUCGAUGCUACCGGUUUACAGCACAUCACAGCACGUGAUUUUUUUUCUCCCAAGGGCCAAUCAGGAAAAUCUGUGAGCGUAUUUAGGUCACAGGCGGGUGAGGGACCCAGCGGAGGAAGUAACCACCAUCGUUGGAUUGCCAUGGUAAAGCGCGUGGAUAUGCGCAGACUUUAAAGUCAAUGGCUGCUUAUGUAAUUUUGAGCAGGGACCAAGGGCAUUUUGGGAACUCUGGUGGCGAACAUUGUGUAAUUUAGUUGCUCUCUUUGCCUUCCUUGCUUUUUUCUCUUCUCUAUCGAAGGUCGGGGACGGAUACUUGCAUAGAAACGAAUAGAAAGGGAAAAAGAAAAGAGAGAAAGAAAAGAGUGGAAGGAGAGGUAGAGAGAGAAGAGACAGAGAGUCGAAGGUUUUACAGUGCAGCGUUAAUGGCUGUUAGGGUUUUCUAUUGAUCCCCGGAACCUUAAUCUCCCGCUUAUAAGCACAGCAUCUGUUUUUCUCCUCGUUCCUCGAAACCCUAAUUUAGCUUCAUUUCGCGGCACUUGGUUCGACUAAUCUUUGCGAGAUUUUGGGGAAUUUGGAACAGAGAGGGGUUAGCUGCAAUGGGGGCGCAAGAGAAAUCGCAAGCUAACGCCAAUUCGAUGCAGGUGAGCUUCUGUUUACUGUCAUCAAGUUCAAGCUUCUUGUUUUGCCCUAGAAAUUUUCUUGCUGUUAGUUAAUUGUAAUCAAUGGUUUGAAUAGCGAGCUUACUUCAAAAUUCCCGUUCUUAUACGAUUUAGUCCCGCGGAAACACUGUUUAAUUGUGUGGGAGUUACUAAUACUCAUAGAGUAAGCCUGGGGUUUGAAUUUAAUUUGACUGGGUUUGAUUAAGCCUGGGGUUUUGAUUUUAUUUGACUGGGUUUGAUUCUUUUGGUAUGGUUUGUGGCAAAUAUGUCCUUUUUUUUCAACCCAGUUGUGUGGUACGAAUAAUUUCUUUCUUGUUGAAUGAGGGCUCCCGCUGUGCAAUAGUGUUUAACUAGUAAUUUUUUAUCCAAGCUGCUUUUAGUGUAAAGCUAUGAUUAUGAGAGUGGAUUUGCCUUCUUUUUUCGUUUGUUUUAUUAAAUGAAAUGUUAAAGGCAUGAAAAGGAAACUUUGGUUCGACUAGUAGGAACCCUUGGUACAGGUUUAUUCAAGUUGGAGCAACUAUAGGGCUUUUUUUG